CAAUAAAACAUUUUCCCUUGUGGAAAUGGGCAUAUUCUCCAUUAAGUACAUAUAUCAUUAGUGGGGAAAGUGAAUGAAUGUGGGAAACAUACAUGUUGAAUAUAUAGAGCCCGAGAGUACAUAUAGAUGAAUGUGUAUGCAAGUUUUGGGGCAACUCACACCUCUAAUAUAGCAGAGCUGCCUUUGAUCUUCUGGAUCAUGCUGCUCUCACUGGGCUGCUCUUGUGGUCUCCACUAGACAUUCUUCUGCUGGAUUCAUUUCAUCUCCACCAGACAAUGCUCCCUUGAACAAUUUGUCUCUGCCAGAUGCACUGUCUUCAUUAGCUAUAACCAUACACAACUCCACCGAGCACGUGGCCAGCUACAGAGCCUCUCUGAACUUCCAGAUCCUGAUUAUCAGUGGGAGUUCUUAAUAAUACUAUCUCUUUAUGAGAAUAAGCUCCAUCAAUUUUUUGAAAAAUUCUCUUAAAAAACCAACAGCCCUUCAUUCAGUUGUGGCCCACCAAUGUCUUCCCUAAGAAAAAUGCUUUUUAGCUUUCUGCUUAGGGAGUUUUUAAAAUUCAUUUCAGUCUUGGCCAAGGCUUUUUUACCUGCAAUUGAAUUGUCUUUCACCCCAACUGCCAAGCUCUUUAAAAUUCAGAGAAGACUCACUGUAGGUAAAAAAUUAAGUCCACCAGUCCAGGUCUCUUUUUAAAUAAAACUUUUAUCAUCUAUACAUUGGUUGUCAGACUUCACUCAGGGUGAGAAUUUCUGCUGCCAGAAUUGAUUUCAUUUGAGAUUAUUAUCCUUCCAAAUUAAUUUCUGAGUUCUGUCAUGGAAAACUCCAAAGAACUGUGUUGAUCCAAUUCACUUUUACAAUUCACAUGAAGUAAAAAUAUGACAAAAAUAGGUUUGCUUUUACAAUACACAUUAAAAACAUGACAAAAAUCUCAGCAAAGGGGAUUUUCAUGUCUCAUCACAUUCCUAGCUCUAAAUAAAUAUGGCAGCAGACAUAAAAGAUUUUGACCUUUGCUUAUACUGAUAAACAAGCCUUGUAUAAUCAAUCCUUAAAAUAAAUAUAACAAAUAAAACAAAAUCAAAAUGGCACUAAUAGCCUCUGAAAAUUAUUUUUAAAUUUAAAUUGAUAUAAAAUUGUGUGGACUUUCCCAAGGUUAACAGUGUGGAGGGGAGGAAAUUUUGUACUUUGCAAAGUAUAACAACUUCCCCAUCUAAAUUGAGUCCUCCAAACUUCCUUACUUCUGUUGAAGGUGACACCAUCUUUUCCAGAUUUGAAAUGCCAGAUCCUUGACUCUUCUUAUUCACUGCUUCCAAAUCUAAUCAAGUACUUUCCUUAAGUUUAUCUUAACCAUAUUUCUUGCAUUUAUUUCCUUUUUCAUGCAUGUAAUCACCACCUUGGAUCACAAGCCCAGAUCAUUUUUUCCUUUAAUUAUUCCAAGUCUCCUACUUGAUUUGUAUACUUACCAUUUUUCCUUCUCUGAUCUAUCCUCUAGGUAGAUAACCAAAAUAAUUUUCCCAAGUCUUGAAUCUAACCAUGCUGUUUCCUGCUCAUUUCUUCUGUGACUACCUACUGCCUCUAGUAUAUAUUGCAAAUAAAGUAAACCUGGCAUUUAAAGCCUCUAACUUUGGUUUCAAAGUAUUCUUCCAGUCUUAUAGGAUUAAACUUCAUGUAGUACAUUCCAUUUCCCCUGUGUGUUCCUUUACAAGUUACAGCCCAAACCUGGAAUGAACCAUUUCCUUAUAACCAAUUAUUUGUGAAGCAACUAUUAUGUGUCAGGCAGUAUGUUAAGUACUUUAGUUAUUAUUCUCAUUUGAACCUUACAACAAACUUGAGAGGUAGGUGUUGUCCCCACUUACUACUUUAAAAAAGUGAGAUUAAGAGACUUGUCCAAGAGUCUAGUCUACAGAGUCUGAGACCGGAUAUCCCAUUAUUCUUUAAUCCAGGUCCAAGGCUCUAUUUAACUGCACAUUCCUUUCAAGGCUCAGUUGUUACAUCCUCCAAGUCUUCUUGGAUUCCCUCAUAUUAGCAUUUUCCCUGUUCUCAUUUUGAUUUAAAUCAUAGUUUUAUCCUAGAAAGGACUUCAGAGAUUAUGGUCAAAUCCUAUUUAAAAAUGAGAAACUUGAGGCCAAAGGAAUGUAAGCAUGUUGCUUAAAAUUACAUGAGUAAUAGGUGACAAAGCCAAGAUUUUAAUUCUGGUCUUCUGAGUACGGAUGCAGAAUUCUAUCCAGUACAAUGUUCUCAUCUAAUCCCUACAGCAAAAUGUAAGUCUUUGAAAAUAGGCAAUGUUCCAUUUUAGUUUUGUGCCUACCAUGAUGUUUUAAAUUAAAGGUAAUUAAAUUUUAUUUCUGAUAAAACAUUUCCAAGAACACUUAGCUGCUGUAAUUCUUCAAGUUUAAAUAACAGAAUAACUUUUGUUUUUAAGAAGCCAUUUUCACUGGAUGUAUUCAGCCUAAAACUAUACUAAAAACAUGAAUUGGCUAAUCUACUAAUAAUUCUAUUAGUUUCCCAGGCCUAUUUCAAUC
Molecule: long non-coding RNA, 2519 nt
Organism: Sarcophilus harrisii (Tasmanian devil)
Lineage: Eukaryota; Metazoa; Chordata; Mammalia; Dasyuromorphia; Dasyuridae
Source: Ensembl